AAGAGACGUUGCCCUUCGGGGUAUACCUCCCACCCUUUGUUUAUUAUACCUUUGUUGCUUUGGCGGGCCCGUCCUCGGACCACCGGCUUUUGCUGGUCAGUGCCCGCCAGAGGACCUAAAACUCUGUUUGUUAAUAUUGUCUGAGUACUAUAUAAUAGUUA
This 161-nucleotide unclassified non-coding RNA is filed under the name soil metagenome. RNAcentral's name for it is "partial internal transcribed spacer 1". The record is from RNAcentral.